RNAcentral lists this transfer-messenger RNA (364 nucleotides) under Bacilli. RNAcentral describes it as "DUOF01 sp012839015 Standard tmRNA". It matches the Rfam family "transfer-messenger RNA". Rfam says of the family: Bacterial tmRNA, also known as 10Sa RNA or SsrA, is named for its dual tRNA and mRNA-like properties. Lineage: Bacteria; Bacillati; Bacillota. The record is from RNAcentral. RNAcentral also lists the same sequence under 1 other name.
GGGGAUGUAAUGGUUUCGACAGGUAGUUAAGUGUAUAGAAUGCAGUCGGGUGAUUACGUUACAAUCAUUUGCCUAAUAAAUGGCGAACCAAAUUACGCUUUCGCAGUUUAAUCAAAUAGAUUUUAAUCACUAAAUAGUGAACUGUGCGUUGUCUAGGGUUGUUCUCUAGCUCUAAUAACAACGUUAUAAUUAGAGAAUAAGGUUUAAUGAUUUCUAUAAGUUAGACUCGAAAAAACUAUAGGAUAGUUAAGUAAGUGGUCGUUAGUUCCCAAAUUACUUAAUGAACAAACUUGAACUAACUAAACUGUAGAUGUCUAUACGUAAGAUUAUUUGGACGGGAGUUCGACUCUCCUCAUCUCCACCA